AAAAAAAAAAAAAAAAAAAAAAAAAAAAAAAAAAAAAAAAAAACGUUCAACUUAGUGGGUUAUUAUAUAUUAUGUCCAUACAUAUUAUUUAUGUAAUUUUUUUAAGUGCAAAAUUUUUUUAAAAAAAUACUAAAAAAAAGCCAAAAAUAGUAGACAAAAAAAAUGACAAACUAAUAACAUAUAAAAAUUAUUUUUAUAGUAUAAAGUUUUUGUUAAUACUUGAUUCUUUUUUUUUUUACUUCUCGUGUUAGGUUAUAUGUGUUUGGUAUAACUUUGUGCUUUCACAUAAAGCUUCUUCACACAUAAAGCUUUUUCACGCACUCUCAUCCAAUAAAUUAAUAAUUGGAAAUUCUUUAUUUAACUUCCAUUAUUAGAACUUCACAAUGAUAAAUUUAGAGCUUCCGCUUUAUCAUUAUAUAUAUUUUUUAUUGGAUUUAUUUUGUGCAUUUGGUUAAAGGUAUAUUUUUUGACAGAAAAAGGUUUUUUUUCUUUAUGCGUUUUAUUUUGAAUAUCUUCCUUACGUGGAUUCAUUUCAUGGGUUUAUGGUUCCUUAUUGUGACAUAAUCUUUUAUUCAUACUAGGAUAUUUUUUUUCUUGUUUUAUAACAUUAGUUACUUCUUUCAUUAGAUGUACGUUGGGGUUUAAUAAUCUUUUUGUAAUCAUCUUUACUUCAGACUUUUUAAAAUUUUUUGUUUUAUUAUCAACAUAUACCUUUGUUUUUGAUCUAGUAAGCAUUCUUUUAAACUCCUUGUUAGCAUUUUUAUUUUUUUUAUUAUCUGCAUAAAUCAAGCUUUUAUUGUUUGUGUUCAAUUUUUUUUUCUUUGUCAUGGAACUAAUGCUUGACAACUCUUUUAAAGGAAUUUUUUCUGAAAAUACAUUUUUUUUGUUUAAAGCUAAAGUUUUCUGUUUUUUUAAUUUAACGUCAACCAUUGAUUUGGUUUUUUUUAAAAUGCUUUUUCUUCUUUGUAAUCCAUUAUUGCUUUUAAAAGUAAAAUUCAUAGUACUUUUUUUUAAUUUCAAUGAUUUGGAACUAUUUAAUCUGUUUUUUAUAUUCUUAAAAGUUAAUUCUUUUUUUUCAUUCUUUUUUUUUUUUUUUUUUGGAAGCAUUAGCAUUACCAUACGUUUUUAUUUGUCUUGUACAUUUACCUUGUUUAUUACGACUAAGGAAAACUUUAUUUUCUUUAAUUAAUUUUUGUAAUUCUUUUAAACUCUUAGCCGAAUUAAACAUAUGUAAUAACUCUUCCGUAUCUAGUUCUGUGCCUAGUUCUUUAGAAUUAAUUUCUUGUUUAGUCAUUAAACAUGGUUCAGUUUGGCUCUUUAAAUUAGUGUUGUUUUCAUUUUCCCUAUGUCGCAUGAACUUGUUUUUAUUACUCUCUUCAACUCUAUUAGUAUAAUAAAAACCUUCAGAACUUUUAUUAUAUGUUUUAU
RNAcentral lists this long non-coding RNA (1428 nucleotides) under Piliocolobus tephrosceles (Ugandan red Colobus). Its description in RNAcentral is "lncRNA (ENSPTEG00000017799.1)". Lineage: Eukaryota; Metazoa; Chordata; Mammalia; Primates; Cercopithecidae. The record is from RNAcentral.